UAACUGCUUCAGUUUGAAAUGGUCU
Molecule: non-coding RNA, 25 nt
Filed under: Rattus norvegicus (Norway rat)
Lineage: Eukaryota; Metazoa; Chordata; Mammalia; Rodentia; Muridae
Source: RNAcentral